CCUACAGGAGACAGCAGUGAGGAAUAUUGGUCAAUGGGCGGAAGCCUGAACCAGCCAAGUAGCGUGCAGGAUGACGGCCCUACGGGUUGUAAACUGCUUUUAUACGGGAAUAACGCGCCUUACGUGUAGGGCUUUGCAUGUACCGUAUGAAUAAGGACCGGCUAAUUCCGUGCCAGGAGCCGCGGUAAUACGGAAGGUCCGGGCGUUAUCGGGAUUUAUUGGGUUUAAAGGGAGCGUAGGCCGCAUGUCAAGCGUGCUGUGAAAUGUCCGGGCUCAACCCGGGCCUUGCAGCGCGAACUGGCGUGCUUGAGUCCGCGGAAAGCAGGCGGAAUUCGUCGGGUAGCGGUGAAAUGCUUAGAUAUGACGAAGAACCCCGAUUGCGAAGGCAGCUUGCUGCAGCGGAACUGACGCUGAUGCUCGAAAGCGCGGGUAUCGAACAGGAUUAGAUACCCGAGUAGUC
This 460-nucleotide ribosomal RNA is filed under the name uncultured bacterium. RNAcentral describes it as "partial 16S ribosomal RNA". It matches the Rfam family "Bacterial small subunit ribosomal RNA", at positions 338 to 795 of the family's 1533-position model. The record is from RNAcentral.